Molecule: RNA transcript, 1532 nt
Organism: Gossypium raimondii (Peruvian cotton)
Lineage: Eukaryota; Viridiplantae; Streptophyta; Magnoliopsida; Malvales; Malvaceae
Gene name: protein cornichon homolog 4
Exons: 5
Source: RefSeq, a predicted model, not a curated record
CAAUCAAGAGACAAGCAAAGAUGAUGAAUUUCAACCAAAGCUUUGAUGAUCAGAGAAAGAUUAUCAUUCAUUGCAUUAUAAAAUAAUUUUAUAUUAUUUUAAUGUCGAAUCUUGCAUUUUUCCAGGUUAUAAUAACCAUUUUUUUCAAGGAAUGGCAUUGUUGGUGGGCAACAACUAUAUCCAUGGCGGCACAAACACCAGAAAGUUUUACUGUUCUACUCUCAACCUUUUAAGUCUUUAAGACAGACACUUAACUUUCCUUUUGACUACUAUCGGUUUCGAAUCUUUCAAUCGUUUCUGAGACAAGCAAAGCCAACGGAACACCUUUCCUCUCUAUUUCUUCCUAAUAAUGUCAAUGACAAGUUAAGCAAACAAACCCUUGCCUGUUGAUCACCCACCAUACUCAAAUCCUGUUUAAGCUUCAUCUUCAAGGACAGGAAUAAGGGAAAAAGAGAGCCAUGUUAGAUAUCUUCAUAUGGCUUAUUUCUUUCUUCAUCAUCAUUGCCAUUAUUGUUCUCCUCAUUUAUCAGCUCACAUGCUUGGCUGAUUUAGAGUUCGAUUACAUCAAUCCGUACGACUCUUCAUCUCGGAUAAACAAAGUCGUCUUGCCAGAAUUCUUCGUGCAAGGAUUUUUAUGCUUAUUCUAUCUAGUAACAGGACAUUGGGUCAUGUCACUGUUAUGCACUCCAUAUUUAUACUACAAUGUCAAAGUUUACAUGUUGAAACAACACCUGGUCGAUGUCACGGAGAUAUUUAACUCACUUAAUAGGGAGAAGAACCGACGCUACUAUAAACUCGCCUACCUCGUCAUUCUCCUAUUUAUCUCCUUAUUCUGGAUUAUCUUCUCUGCAUUAGAAUACGAAGAUGAUUAACCGGACCCCGGCAGCUUUCUUAAUCGGAACGUGCAUCGGCUGUUUACAUUUGAUGUCUUUGUUUCAGCUUCUUCUGUUCUAUGAAGUCAUCGAUUCUUCGCUGCAAAUCAUCACUGUAGUCUCCUUCAGCAAACCAACCAUCAUUGUCAUCACUGUCACUAUCAUCAUCUUCAUAAUAGCCGUCGGAACAACCGGUAUCAUCUCUGCAUACAUCAACCAUAUCUGCACACUGUUGAGUAUCAUCAAAGGAAGCCCCCACUUCACAUGACGAGCCCAAAUACGUGAAUUCUCCAUCAACUUCAUUCGUAGAUUGUUUAUGACUCGAAAAAGUUACAGAUAUAAGCAUGGCGUUAAACAACACGAACAAAGAAACCGGAUUAUGCAAGAACUCGAGAUUGCGGGUAGACAAAGAUCUCAACAACAAAAGGGAAACUACAAAGAGAAUCAAACAUGAACAAAAGAGCUUCAUUCAAGUGUCUACUAACAGAACAUAUAUUUGUCUGUGUCUGUAUUCAUUGUUGGUUGUCCCUUUUGUUAUGAGGGAUACAAUUUAUAGAAGUUUAAAAGGAAAAAAAAAAAAAAGAGGUGAUUUCCCCGAACAAGUAAUGGGGGUUUGUUUAUUAAUUUAUUUUCUCAAGUAAUGAAGACUUUGAAGCAUAA